RNAcentral lists this ribosomal RNA (253 nucleotides) under uncultured bacterium. Its description in RNAcentral is "partial 16S ribosomal RNA". It matches the Rfam family "Bacterial small subunit ribosomal RNA", at positions 524 to 776 of the family's 1533-position model. The record is from RNAcentral.
UACGUAGGGUGCGAGCGUUAUUCGGAAUUACUGGGCGUAAAGCGUGCGCAGGCGGUUCGUUAAGUUUGUUGUGAAAGCCCCGGGCUCAACCUGGGAAUGGCAAUGGAAACUGGCGGGCUGGAGUAUGGCAGAGGGGGGUGGAAUUCCGCGUGUAGCAGUGAAAUGCGUAGAGAUGCGGAGGAACACCGAUGGCGAAGGCAGCCCCCUGGGCCAAUACUGACGCUCAGGCACGAAAGCGUGGGGAGCAAACAGG